GUUUAUAUAGCUUAAAUUAAAGCACAGCACUGAAGAUGCUAAGAUAGAUUUUUAUACAUCUUAUAAACA
This 69-nucleotide transfer RNA is filed under the name Lyciasalamandra flavimembris. RNAcentral describes it as "tRNA-Phe". It matches the Rfam family "tRNA". Rfam says of the family: Transfer RNA (tRNA) molecules are approximately 80 nucleotides in length. The record is from RNAcentral. Lineage: Eukaryota; Metazoa; Chordata; Amphibia; Caudata; Salamandridae.